Molecule: long non-coding RNA, 2445 nt
Organism: Mus musculus (house mouse)
Lineage: Eukaryota; Metazoa; Chordata; Mammalia; Rodentia; Muridae
Product: predicted gene, 51905
Exons: 3
Source: RefSeq, a predicted model, not a curated record
CUCAUUAUAUAGACAAGGCUGGCCCUGAACUCAAGAGAUACAUCCACCUCUGCCUCCUGAGUGCUGGGAUUAUCGGCGUGCACCAGCACCAUCUAGCUCCUGGGUGUGAGCACAAGUGAGUAGUGGUAACAGCAAAUGUGACCAUGUGACUGAAGCACUUACUAUUUGGACCCUUCCAGAAAAAGCCCAACCUCUUUGACUCAGGCCACCAGUGAGGUCCUGACAACCCCAAGUCUCCUUGUAAGCUUGGGAGGUGCCAACCCACAGUUCUGGUAUGAUCUCUGAAUUUCCAGGUGAGCCCUGACACCCAUGUCCCCACGUGCUCUUCCUGCUUCCUCUAUCCACAACCACCAGCUGCAGACUGGUUCCUGCCACACCCAAGGCACUUCUACACACAGAGAUAUCCUCCUCCUUCUUUCUGUUGCUGGACUGUGCGUUCCUCCUUCUGAGGGGUCCCCAGCCUCUUUCAUCUCCUGAAGCUUCCCUCAGAUCGCCAGACCUGGGACUCACCUUCCUCCAUUCCUCUAAAGCGGCCCUCAGGUUUGAAGGGUCUAUUCUGUAAUGUCUCACCUUGUAUACCUGUCCAUAGGUUCCAUUGCCAACCACCUCCACCAGCUCAAAGAUUCCUGCAGGGUCCUGGGAGGGAGAAGAAAGAACAAGAUGUCAUCACUUCAGCAAGGGCUGUGAUGCUGGAGGGGAUGAAGGUGUCAACCAGGAUAAGAGUGACAGAGAAGACGAUCACUUAGGGGACUGUGGCGAACCCUAAUGGUUAGAUGGGUUUUCUCUGGAUAGUUCAGAGUUAAUUCUAUUCUAGAGUCAGGAGGGAACAUGGUAGUCAUAGCCCAGAGGGCUUUUCAAAGGCAUGCUCUUGAUUCCCAACUCACUGACCUAUGGCUAUGUAUCUGUAUUCCCAACUGCAAGUGAGGGUGCCCAAACACAUCCCUGGCCUGGGCUAAACUUUCAGUGAGGUAAUGCCCACAAUGCACUGCUGUGUGCCCACAACAGCCCAGGCUGGCAGUGUGUUUGAAUAAGAGUUUAGUAUUAUUGCUAUUAAGAGAUGGUUCAGCAGUUAUGAGCACUGGCUGCUCUUUCAAAGGCCUGGUUUCAAUUCCUAGCACCUGCGUGGCAGCUCACAACUGUCUGUAAUUCUAGUUCCAGAUACCCUCCAAUUCCCUCACCUUCACACAGCCAUACAUGCAGGCAAAACACUACAUGUGAAAUAAAAAUUUAAAAAUGGAGGCAGGGACAGAGAUGAGCCAGGGCACAGGAGGCACCGUCCUUUGGUCUCCCCUCCCUAGUUCUUUAAAAUAAGGGCCUCCAGUAAGACACGAAGUGUUUGGGACAUGUGAAGUAUCCUCCACAAAAGGAGAGAGAAAGGGCCUCUCACUGCCACACUGAACUCUGCCCUUCCUCCUGUUCCGAGCCAUGCAGUGCCAGGAGAAAGCCCAGAGAGUGAACAAAGCUUCUAAAGAUCCCCUCCUCCUGCUGGCUUAGAGCAGGCGGCCUGGUCUCAUAGGCACAUCUGCUACCCUACCCUAAGGCCAACCCAAACCCUCCAGGCAGGAGGUGUGGCUGCAAGCUGGCCCCCCAGUAUCAUUCUGCACAAAGAAUAGGUCUGGCCCAAUCCCUGCAGAGACCAAGGACACCAAUGUGGUGUCAACUCUCCAGGCAACACGUAAAGUCUCAGAGCUGAGCAUCCUAACAGCAUAUAACCUAAAAGUUCCCUCUCCCUGACUUUAAGAGCCAAUAUAGGAUUUCUGAAAGUAAAAACAUCCUGUUGUGCUGAAGAAAUCUACAGGGACAGGGUCUGGGCACAGACACCCUAAGACCCCCUGCCCAGGGUUUUCAGGAAUGUGUGUACUGCACUUUGUCCAUCUUCUCAGAGAGGAAGUAGAGGGCAGAAACACACCCUGGUUCCCUCACAGCAGAGAUCACAAGGCAUUGUGAUUACAUAUUUACUUGCUGGGAAACUCCCUGGAGGAAGUGCCUGAGUUCUACUUGUUCUCCAAAUCUGUCCAGCAUGUCAACGGACCUGGCACUCAGCAGCCUGAAACAUGUACCCCAUCCUCCCCAAGAGAAUCUCACAGCAAUGAAGGAGCCUCCUCCUAAUCCGUGAUUAUAAAUCUCAUGUCAACAGUCAAUCACUUUACUUUCACAAGUGACAAAAAGGAAAAGGAAAAAGGUGUAUGCAUGGCAUGACGACCGUCCUUGCCUUCUACCUUCCUUGACACGGGAGCUCCUCCUCACUGCUGAGUAAGUCGGAAUAACUGACUUGCUACAGAGUGUGGAGGGAGGACGACUUGGAAAGGUCUGCUUUCUCUAUCUACCAUGUGGGUCCUGGGAAACAGAACUCAGCCUUUCCUGAUGUCUCUGUGCUAAACAUCCUAACUGCAUAUAACUUAAAACUCCAAUAUAGAGUCAAUACAGGAUUUCUGAAAAUAAGAA